This 22-nucleotide non-coding RNA is filed under the name Arabidopsis thaliana (thale cress). The record is from RNAcentral. Lineage: Eukaryota; Viridiplantae; Streptophyta; Magnoliopsida; Brassicales; Brassicaceae.
GUCGUUUCUUUUUGUUUGUGGU